CAGUCGCCACGGUAAUACGAAGGGUGCAAGCGUUACUCGGAAUUACUGGGCGUAAAGCGUGCGUAGGUGGUGGUUUAAGUCCGUUGUGAAAGCCCUGGGCUCAACCUGGGAAUUGCAGUGGAUACUGGGUCACUAGAGUGUGGUAGAGGAUAGUGGAAUUUCCGGUGUAGCAGUGAAAUGCGUAGAGAUCGGAAGGAACAUCUGUGGCGAAGGCGACUAUCUGGGCCGACACUGACACUGAGGCACGAAAGCGUGGGGAGCAAACAGGAUUAGAUACCCCCGUAGUCCCUGUCUCUUAUAC
This 301-nucleotide ribosomal RNA is filed under the name uncultured bacterium. RNAcentral describes it as "partial 16S ribosomal RNA". It matches the Rfam family "Bacterial small subunit ribosomal RNA", at positions 509 to 807 of the family's 1533-position model. The record is from RNAcentral.